RNAcentral lists this ribosomal RNA (279 nucleotides) under uncultured bacterium. RNAcentral describes it as "partial 16S ribosomal RNA". It matches the Rfam family "Bacterial small subunit ribosomal RNA", at positions 506 to 784 of the family's 1533-position model. The record is from RNAcentral.
UGCCAGCCGCCGCGGUAAUACGGAGGGGGCAAGCGUUGUUCGGAAUUACUGGGCGUAAAGCGCACGUAGGCGGACUGAUCAGUUGGGGGUGAAAUCCCGAGGCUUAACCUCGGAACUGCCUUCAAUACUGUCAGUCUUGAGAUCGGAAGAGGUGAGUGGAAUUCUCGGUGUAGCGGUGAAAUGCGCAGAUAUCGAGAGGAACACCAUUAGCGAAGGCGGCUCACUGGGCCGGUACAGACGCUGAGGAGCGAAAGCGUGGGUAGCUAACGGGAUUAGAUA